ACGUGCACACACUCAGGUGCGCACAGACUCACAUGCACACACAGAAACACUGCACCACUCCCAGUGAGUACCUGACUUCACCACGGUGCCGUUGCCCACAAGUGACCCCGGUUGUGCCAUGUGGUUGUGCCAGUGCCCCUCCCG
Thalassophryne amazonica is the source of this 144-nucleotide long non-coding RNA. RefSeq lists it as uncharacterized. The transcript is spliced from 3 exons. The record is from RefSeq and is a predicted model, not a curated record. NCBI's taxonomy places the organism in Eukaryota, Metazoa, Chordata, Actinopteri, Batrachoidiformes, Batrachoididae.